Molecule: non-coding RNA, 30 nt
Filed under: Rattus norvegicus (Norway rat)
Lineage: Eukaryota; Metazoa; Chordata; Mammalia; Rodentia; Muridae
Source: RNAcentral
UUCAUUUCAUAGUCAAUCAUUGAAGGAAGU